This 497-nucleotide ribosomal RNA is filed under the name uncultured bacterium. RNAcentral describes it as "partial 16S ribosomal RNA". It matches the Rfam family "Bacterial small subunit ribosomal RNA", at positions 28 to 508 of the family's 1533-position model. The record is from RNAcentral.
GAUGAACGCUGGCGGCGUGCCUAAUACAUGCAAGUCGAGCGAACAGACGAGGAGCUUGCUCCUCUGACGUUAGCGGCGGACGGGUGAGUAACACGUGGAUAACCUACCUAUAAGACUGGGAUAACUUCGGGAAACCGGAGCUAAUACCGGAUAAUAUAUUGAACCGCAUGGUUCAAUAGUGAAAGACGGUUUUGCUGUCACUUAUAGAUGGAUCCGCGCCGCAUUAGCUAGUUGGUAAGGUAACGGCUUACCAAGGCAACGAUGCGUAGCCGACCUGAGAGGGGGGGCGGCACCAGGGGAAGGGAGAACGGCACCAGACUCCGAGGGGGGGAGGAAGGGGGAAUUGUUCGAAAGGGGGAGAAGGCGGGAGGGAACAACGCGGCGGGAGUAAUAAGGGUCUGGGAAUGGAAAAACUCUUUUAUGGGGAAAAAAAAAAGGUGAAAGAAACUAGGCCCGUCGGGAGGGUACCUAAUAAAAAGGCCACGGCUAACUACGGC